This 934-nucleotide non-coding RNA is filed under the name Hoplobatrachus tigerinus x Hoplobatrachus rugulosus. RNAcentral describes it as "12S rRNA". It matches the Rfam family "Bacterial small subunit ribosomal RNA". Lineage: Eukaryota; Metazoa; Chordata; Amphibia; Anura; Dicroglossidae. The record is from RNAcentral.
CAAAGGUUUGGUCCUAGCCUUAUUAUCAAUUAUCUCUUAACUUACACAUGCAAGUCUCAGCACACCCGUGAGGACGCCCUUUACCCCCUACCCCAGGCUUAGGAGCUGGUAUCAGGCACAACUACUUGCCCAUAACACCUAGUCCCACCACACCCCCAAGGGUAUUCAGCAGUGAUAGAUAUUGUCUAUAAGCGCUAGCUUGACCCAGUUAUAGAGAAGAGAGCCGGCCAACUUGGUGCCAGCCGCCGCGGCUAGACCAACUGGACUCAAAUUGAUAAUCCCCGGCGUUAAGCGUGAUUAAAGCAUGAACAAAUUAGAGUUAAACCUACGUUGAGCAGUGAAAAGCACACGAUAGGGAAAUCCAAAAACGAAAGUUAUUCUAAUCCUUGCUUGAAUACACGACAGCUAGGGCACAAACUGGGAUUAGAUACCCCACUAUGCCUAGCCGUAAACUAUUAACCUACACCCACCCGCGCCAGGGAACUACGAGCUUUAGCUUAAAACCCAAAGGACUUGACGGUGUCCCACCCAACUAGAGGAGCCUGUUCUAUAAUCGAUGACCCCCGCUCCACCCAACCCCCCCUUGCUUUAUCAGCCUGUAUACCUCCGUCGUAAACCCGCCGUAUGAAUGUACCCAAGCGGAUUUAAUGGUCCCACACCAACACGUCAGGUCAAGGUGCAGCCAAUGGGAGAGGUAAGUGAUGGGCUACAAUUUCUAGUCUAGAACAAACGAAAUUCUGCAUGAAACACAGUUAUGAAGGAGGAUUUAGUAGUAAAAAGAAAGUAGCGUGUUCUUUUUAACAUGGCCCUGGGACGUGUACACACCGCCCGUCGCCCUCUUCGACAAUUCUAUUAUGCUAUUUAACCAAACCGCAAGCCAGAGAAGAGGUAAGUCGUAACAUGGUAAGUGUACCGGAAGGUGCACUUGGUACAA